AUCUCUAAGUGAUAUGGGAAAGCAUCAGGAUCCUCCAACGCAUCAUCAUAAUUCUCCCCAGUGACUGAAAUAGACAUUUUAUGAUUUCAAAUUACAUUUGAAGUAUCCUUGAAGUGACAAUGAUGAAUUGUGGGACUUGACUUGGUACGCUUUCUCACAUACCUGUUCGAUACUGCACAGACACACAGACAAAGUCUAAACUUUCUCCUUUCAGAUGUGGAAUAAACAGAAUGAAGCUGGGAUACAUUGUUCUCUGAACUGUUUAUUUCUGGAGGACAUAUGUUACGACCAAAGACCAAAAAGUUUUUACUCUGAAUGGAUUGGCACUGACAGUCUGACAGAGGGCUUGGAAGGGGGACUAAGCCCUCUUGUAUGAACCAGUUAUUUAAUUGGAUAACAACAACAAGAAGAGAAGAAAAGCAAGAGCCAAGCAAUGUUUUACUUUCAUGGUGCCAAACUGUGGAGUGCAGAAGUCCUUGAAAAACCCUGCCACCGCAAGUCAAACCCCAUACUGUUCUGGGACAGAACACAAUGCUCGCCUCUCUUUGGAAAGUAUUCCACUUUAUACAAAAUUUUUAGUUCUGGUACAACGAAUACCUGUGAAUUCUUGUCCUGGUACCUGGAGCACGUAGCCAAGAGCUGCAUCCCAGACCUUGCUUUUUUUUUUUUUUUUUUUUUUUUUUUCCCCAGGGCUUAUUAAAAAAUUAUGUUAUACACAGAAGCCAUUUCCAGGCACAUAAAGGACAAGUUGAUUGUGGACACAGUCUGGAUAAAUCAUGGGUAAUAAAUUAGGAUAAAUCAUG
Molecule: long non-coding RNA, 803 nt
Organism: Oxyura jamaicensis (ruddy duck)
Lineage: Eukaryota; Metazoa; Chordata; Aves; Anseriformes; Anatidae
Exons: 3
Source: RefSeq, a predicted model, not a curated record